GAUGAACGCUAGCGGCAGGCCUAACACAUGCAAGUCGAGGGGCAGCACGUCUUCGGAUGGUGGCGACCGGCGCACGGGUGCGUAACGCGUAUGCAACCUACCUCUUACAGUGGGAUAGCCCAGAGAAAUUUGGAUUAAUACCGCAUAGUAUACAGAUUCAGCAUUGGGACUGUAUUAAACAUUUAUGGGUAAGAGAUGGGGCAUGCGUUCUAUUAGUUAGUUGGAGUGGUAACGGCACCCCAAGACAGCGAUAGAUAGGGGCCCUGAGAGGGGGAUCCCCCGACACUGGUACUGAGACACGGACCAGACUCCUACGGGAGGCAGCAGUGAGGAAUAUUGGACAAUGGGCGAGAGCCUGAUCCAGCCAUGCCGCGUGCAGGAAGACGGCCCUAUGGGUUGUAAACUGC
Molecule: ribosomal RNA, 407 nt
Filed under: uncultured bacterium
Lineage: Bacteria
Description: bacterial SSU rRNA
Rfam family: Bacterial small subunit ribosomal RNA
Source: RNAcentral